Molecule: long non-coding RNA, 447 nt
Filed under: Lactuca sativa (garden lettuce)
Lineage: Eukaryota; Viridiplantae; Streptophyta; Magnoliopsida; Asterales; Asteraceae
Description: long non-coding RNA (LSAT_LNC008024)
Source: RNAcentral
GACUGAAAGUUCAUGUCAAGAUAGCAACAACGGUGAGAAAAGUUGUGGGAAGAGAAAAAGAGUUUCGACCAAAACCCCCGGUCAACCCCGGCCGCCGUCCGCCUCCAAAUACAGAGGCGUCCGGCAGCGGAAAUGGGGUAAAUGGGCGGCGGAAAUUCGUGACCCGUUUAAGCAACGCCGGGUAUGGCUUGGAACUUAUGAUACUGCUGAAGAAGCGUCCAGAGCUUAUGAAGUCAAAAAACUCGAGUUUGAAGCCAUGGCUGAAGCUUCAAAGGGUGGUUCCAACAUCGUCAAAAGCACGCCUCCAAAUACAGAGGCGUCCGGCAGCGGAAAUGGGGUAAAUGGGCGGCGGAAAUUCGUGACCCGUUUAAGCAACGCCGGGUAUGGCUUGGAACUUAUGAUACUGCUGAAGAAGCGUCCAGAGCUUAUGAAGUCAAAAAACUCGAG